Molecule: ribosomal RNA, 1967 nt
Filed under: human gut metagenome
Description: bacterial LSU rRNA
Rfam family: Bacterial large subunit ribosomal RNA
Source: RNAcentral
UCAAGCUACAAAGGGCGCAUGGUGAAUGCCUUGGCAUCAGGAGCCGAUGAAGGACGUGAUAAGCUGCGAUAAGCUUCGGGUAGGCGCACAUAGCCAGUGAUCCGGAGAUUUCCGAAUGUGGGAACACACAUGGGAAACCCCAUGUAUCGUAUAGUGAAUACAUAGCUAUACGAGGGUAAACCUAGGGAACUGAAACAUCUAAGUACCUAGAGGAAGAGAAAGAAAAAUCGAUUUCCUAAGUAGCGGCGAGCGAAAGGGAAAGAGCCCAAACCAAAGAUUUAUCUUUGGGGUUGCGGACAGAGCAUUAACGAGAAGUCGUAACUAACCGAACACAACUGGAAAGUUGGACCGUAGGAGGUAAUAGUCCUGUAGGUGAAAGUUAAGAUAAUCAAGCUCUGAUCCAGAGUACCACGAGACACGUGAAACCUUGUGGGAAGCAGGGAGGACCACCUCCCAAGGCUAAAUACUACCUGAUGACCGAUAGUGAAGCAGUACCGUGAGGGAAAGGUGAAAAGAACCCCGGGAGGGGAGUGAAAUAGAACCUGAAACCGUGUGCCUACAACCGGUCAAAGCCCCAUAUGAGGGUGAUGACGUGCUUUUUGUAGAACGAGCCAACGAGUUACGGUAUGUAGCAAGGUUAAGUACUUAAGGUACGGAGCCGAAGGGAAACCGAGUCUUAAUAGGGCGACUAGUUGCAUGCCGUAGACCCGAAACCGGGUGACCUAUCCAUGGCCAGGUUGAAGCGAGGGUAAAACUUCGUGGAGGACCGAACCACGUUGCUGUUGAAAAAGCAUGGGAUGAGCUGUGGAUAGCGGAGAAAUUCCAAUCGAACUCGGAGAUAGCUGGUUCUCCCCGAAAUAGCUUUAGGGCUAGCGUCGGAUAUGUGUAGUGGAGGUAGAGCACUGAAUGGGCUAGGGGGCAUAUCGCUUACCGAACCUUAUCAAACUCCGAAUGCCAUAUACAUUUAGUCCGGCAGUCAGACUACGAAUGAUAAGAUCCGUGGUCAAAAGGGAAACAGCCCAGAUCGUCAGCUAAGGUCCCAAAGUGUAAGUUAAGUGGAAAAGGAUGUGGGAUUUCUAAGACAACUAGGAUGUUGGCUUAGAAGCAGCCACUCAUUUAAAGAGUGCGUAAUAGCUCACUAGUCGAGAGAUCCUGCGCCGAAAAUGUCCGGGGCUCAAACUUACCACCGAAGCUACGGGCUUGCGUAAGCAAGCGGUAGGGGAGCGUCGUAAUCGGGCUGAAGUCGUACCGUAAGGAGCGGUGGACUGAUUACGAGUGAGAAUGUUGGCAUUAGUAGCGAGAUGUAGGUGAGAAUCCUACAGGCCGAAUAUCUAAGGUUUCCUCAGGAAGGCUCGUCCGCUGAGGGUUAGUCGGGACCUAAGCCGAGGCCGAAAGGCGUAGGCGAUGGACAAUCGGUUGAUAUUCCGAUACCACUACCAUCGUUAUUAUCGAGGGUGUGACGGAGAAGGAUAGUGUGUGCUAGCGAUUGGAAAUGCUAGUCUAAGCGUUUAGGGAGUUACGGUAGGCAAAUCCGCUGUAACAAUUCUGAGGCGUGAUGGGGAAGGCCAUAUAGGCCGAAGUACAUGAUUCCAUGCUUCCAAGAAAAGCAUCUAGAGAGAGAAGUAGUGCCCGUACCGCAAACCGACACAGGUAGAUGAGGAGAGAAUCCUAAGGCCGGCGGAAGAAUUGCAGUUAAGGAACUAGGCAAAUUGACCCCGUAAGUUCGCGAGAAGGGGUGCCUGCGAGAGCAGGCCGCAGAGAAUAGGCCCAAGCAACUGUUUAGCAAAAACACAGGUCUCUGCUAAAGCGUAAGCUGAUGUAUAGGGGCUGACGCCUGCCCGGUGCUGGAAGGUUAAGGGGAACACUUAGCGCAAGCGAAGGUGUGAACUUAAGCCCCAGUAAACGGCGGCCGUAACUAUAACGGUCCUAAGGUAGCGAAAUUCCUUGUCAGGUAAGUUCUGACCCGC